AUGCUGCAUCUUUCAUACAACCCAGAUGCAACAAACCAAACAAUAUCUGAGCUGAGCCUGCCCUAUACCAUGCAGCACACCAAAUACACAUUUCACCUCAUGUUUGCAUCAGCUCAAGCAGGCCAGCCCCAACCAAACUCCUUCAUGCAAUGCAUGCAAGAUGCACCCAGGCAACCAAACACGCCCUAUGCCAAUCCGCAUGAUGACAAGGAGCCACUUGCCGGCGAGGACUGCCCGCGGCAGCAGGGCAAGAGUGAUGGGACUCCUAUUGGCCACCAAUACUUUGUCACAGCGCAGCAGUCACGUCGCGGUCCCUGCUAUGCAAGGCAACGCUCCAAUAGAGAGCGGAGGUGGAAUUUUCUCAUAUUUGCAACCCAUAUGUCGUAG
RNAcentral lists this ribosomal RNA (387 nucleotides) under Triticum aestivum (bread wheat). RNAcentral describes it as "partial small subunit ribosomal RNA". The record is from RNAcentral. Lineage: Eukaryota; Viridiplantae; Streptophyta; Magnoliopsida; Poales; Poaceae.